This 86-nucleotide microRNA precursor is filed under the name Branchiostoma floridae (Florida lancelet). RNAcentral describes it as "mir-2060 microRNA precursor family". It matches the Rfam family "mir-2060 microRNA precursor family". The record is from Rfam by way of RNAcentral. Lineage: Eukaryota; Metazoa; Chordata; Leptocardii; Amphioxiformes; Branchiostomatidae.
GUGUGUGGAUGGUGUUCAGCACCAAGGGCAGGUGUGUUUUGUUGUGUGUGAAUGGUGUUCAGCACCAAUGACAGGUGUGUUUACUU